ACUGCGCCAGGGAUAGUAAUGAAAAGCCCACAGCAAGCCCGAUGACAAUUGGUAAAGGCUUGCGAGGACUUGUAAUGGAUAGCCCGACCCUUU
RNAcentral lists this unclassified non-coding RNA (93 nucleotides) under Algibacter luteus. Its description in RNAcentral is "Arenitalea lutea Flavo-1 RNA". Lineage: Bacteria; Pseudomonadati; Bacteroidota; Flavobacteriia; Flavobacteriales; Flavobacteriaceae. The record is from RNAcentral.